RNAcentral lists this ribosomal RNA (594 nucleotides) under uncultured bacterium. RNAcentral's name for it is "bacterial SSU rRNA". It matches the Rfam family "Bacterial small subunit ribosomal RNA", at positions 90 to 700 of the family's 1533-position model. The record is from RNAcentral.
ACUCAGUGGCGGACGGGUGAGUAACGCGUGAGUAACCUGCCUUUCAGAGGGGGAUAACGUUCUGAAAAGAACGCUAAUACCGCAUAAGAUUGUAGCUUCGCAUGGAGCAGCAAUCAAAGGAGCAAUCCGCUGAAAGAUGGACUCGCGUCCGAUUAGAUAGUUGGCGGGGUAACGGCCCACCAAGUCGACGAUCGGUAGCCGGACUGAGAGGUUGAUCGGCCACAUUGGGACUGAGACACGGCCCAGACUCCUACGGGAGGCAGCAGUGAGGGAUAUUGGGCAAUGGGGGAAACCCUGACCCAGCAACGCCGCGUGAGGGAUGACGGUUUUCGGAUUGUAAACCUCUGUCCUCUGUGAAGAUAGUGACGGUAGCAGAGGAGGAAGCUCCGGCUAACUACGUGCCAGCAGCCGCGGUAAUACGUAGGGAGCAAGCGUUGUCCGGAUUUACUGGGUGUAAAGGGUGCGUAGGCGGAUUGGCAAGUCAGAAGUGAAAUCCAUGGGCUUAACCCAUGAACUGCUUUUGAAACUGUUAGUCUUGAGUGAAGUAGAGGUAGGCGGAAUUCCCGGUGUAGCGGUGAAAUGCGUAGAGAUCGG